AUGCUGGAGGUAUCAGAAGUGCGAAUGCUGACAUAAGUAACGAUAAAGCGGGUGAAAAGCCCGCUCGCCGGAAGACCAAGGGUUCCUGUCCAACGUUAAUCGGGGCAGGGUGAGUCGACCCCUAAGGCGAGGCCGAAAGGCGUAGUCGAUGGGAAACAGGUUAAUAUUCCUGUACUUGGUGUUACUGCGAAGGGGGGACGGAGAAGGCUAUGUUGGCCGGGCGACGGUUGUCCCGGUUUAAGCGUGUAGGCUGGUUUUCCAGGCAAAUCCGGAAAAUCAAGGCUGAGGCGUGAUGACGAGGCACUACGGUGCUGAAGCAACAAAUGCCCUGCUUCCAGGAAAAGCCUCUAAGCAUCAGGUAACAUCAAAUCGUACCCCAAACCGACACAGGUGGUCAGGUAGAGAAUACCAAGGCGCUUGAGAGAACUCGGGUGAAGGAACUAGGCAAAAUGGUGCCGUAACUUCGGGAGAAGGCACGCUGAUAUGUAGGUGAAGCCCCUUGCUGAUGGAGCUGAAAUCAGUCGAAGAUACCAGCUGGCUGCAACUGUUUAUUAAAAACACAGCACUGUGCAAACACGAAAGUGGACGUAUACGGUGUGACGCCUGCCCGGUGCCGGAAGGUUAAUUGAUGGGGUUAGCGCAAGCGAAGCUCUUGAUCGAAGCCCCGGUAAACGGCGGCCGUAACUAUAACGGUCCUAAGGUAGCGAAAUUCCUUGUCGGGUAAGUUCCGACCUGCACGAAUGGCGUAAUGAUGGCCAGGCUGUCUCCACCCGAGACUCAGUGAAAUUGAACUCGCUGUGAAGAUGCAGUGUACCCGCGGCAAGACGGAAAGACCCCGUGAACCUUUACUAUAGCUUGACACUGAACAUUGAGCCUUGAUGUGUAGGAUAGGUGGGAGGCUUAGAAGUGUGGACGCCAGUCUGCAUGGAGCCGACCUUGAAAUACCACCCUUUAAUGUUUGAUGUUCUAACGUUGACCCGUAAUCCGGGUUGCGGACAGUGUCUGGUGGGUAGUUUGACUGGGGCGGUCUCCUCCUAAAGAGUAACGGAGGAGCACGAAGGUUGGCUAAUCCUGGUCGGACAUCAGGAGGUUAGUGCAAUGGCAUAAGCCAGCUUGACUGCGAGCGUGACGGCGCGAGCAGGUGCGAAAGCAGGUCAUAGUGAUCCGGUGGUUCUGAAUGGAAGGGCCAUCGCUCAACGGAUAAAAGGUACUCCGGGGAUAACAGGCUGAUACCGCCCAAGAGUUCAUAUCGACGGCGGUGUUUGGCACCUCGAUGUCGGCUCAUCACAUCCUGGGGCUGAAGUAGGUCCCAAGGGUAUGGCUGUUCGCCAUUUAAAGUGGUACGCGAGCUGGGUUUAGAACGUCGUGAGACAGUUCGGUCCCUAUCUGCCGUGGGCGCUGGAGAACUGAGGGGGGCUGCUCCUAGUACGAGAGGACCGGAGUGGACGCAUCACUGGUGUUCGGGUUGUCAUGCCAAUGGCACUGCCCGGUAGCUAAAUGCGGAAGAGAUAAGUGCUGAAAGCAUCUAAGCACGAAACUUGCCCCGAGAUGAGUUCUCCCUGACCCUUUAAGGGUCCUGAAGGAACGUUGAAGACGACGACGUUGAUAGGCCGGGUGUGUAAGCGCAGCGAUGCGUUGAGCUAACCGGUACUAAUGAACCGUGAGGCUUAACCUU
RNAcentral lists this ribosomal RNA (1675 nucleotides) under Escherichia coli HVH 209 (4-3062651). RNAcentral describes it as "bacterial LSU rRNA". It matches the Rfam family "Bacterial large subunit ribosomal RNA", at positions 1270 to 2925 of the family's 2925-position model. Lineage: Bacteria; Pseudomonadati; Pseudomonadota; Gammaproteobacteria; Enterobacterales; Enterobacteriaceae. The record is from RNAcentral.